CAAGAAAGUCAUAGUGGCUAUGGGGCUGGCUUGAAACCAGUUUUAGGAGGUUCGAUUCCUUCCUUUCUUG
RNAcentral lists this transfer RNA (70 nucleotides) under Oryctolagus cuniculus (rabbit). RNAcentral describes it as "tRNA-Ser". It matches the Rfam family "tRNA". Rfam says of the family: Transfer RNA (tRNA) molecules are approximately 80 nucleotides in length. Their secondary structure includes four short double-helical elements and three loops (D, anti-codon, and T loops). Further hydrogen bonds mediate the characteristic L-shaped molecular structure. tRNAs have two regions of fundamental functional importance: the anti-codon, which is responsible for specific mRNA codon recognition, and the 3' end, to which the tRNAs corresponding amino acid is attached (by aminoacyl-tRNA synthetases). tRNAs cope with the degeneracy of the genetic code in two manners: having more than one tRNA (with a specific anti-codon) for a particular amino acid; and 'wobble' base-pairing, i.e. permitting non-standard base-pairing at the 3rd anti-codon position. Lineage: Eukaryota; Metazoa; Chordata; Mammalia; Lagomorpha; Leporidae. The record is from RNAcentral.